This 253-nucleotide ribosomal RNA is filed under the name uncultured bacterium. RNAcentral describes it as "partial 16S ribosomal RNA". It matches the Rfam family "Bacterial small subunit ribosomal RNA", at positions 524 to 776 of the family's 1533-position model. The record is from RNAcentral.
GACGAACCGUGCGAACGUUGUUCGGAUUCACUGGGCUUAAAGGGCGCGUAGGCGGCUUGCCAAGUCAGGGGUGAAAUCUUUCGGCUCAACCGGAAAAGUGCUUCUGAUACUGGCGGGCUGGAGGGGGGUAGGGGCAGAUGGAACUUCCGGUGGAGCGGUGAAAUGCGUAGAUAUCGGAAGGAACGCCGGUGGCGAAAGCGGCCACCUGGACGGUAACUGACGCUGAGACGCGAAAGCGUGGGGAGCAAACAGG